This 463-nucleotide ribosomal RNA is filed under the name uncultured bacterium. RNAcentral's name for it is "SSU rRNA". It matches the Rfam family "Bacterial small subunit ribosomal RNA", at positions 26 to 523 of the family's 1533-position model. The record is from RNAcentral.
AGAAUCAACGCUGGCGGCGUGCCUAACACAUGCAAGUCGCACGAGAAAGGGGAGCAAUCCCUGAGUACAGUGGCGCACGGGUGAGUAACACGUGAAUCAUCUACCUCCGAGUGGGGAAUAACUGAGAGAAAUCUUAGCUAAUACCGCAUAACACUUACGAGUCAAAGCAGCAAUGCGCUUGGAGAGGAGUUCGCGGCAGAUUAGUUAGUUGGCGGGUAAUGGCCCACCAAGACGAUGAUCUGUAUCCGGCCUGAGAGGGCGCACGGACACACUGGAACUGAAACACGGUCCAGACUCCUACGGGAGGCAGCAGUGGGGAAUUUUGCGCAAUGGGGGAAACCCUGACGCAGCAACGCCGCGUGGAGGAUGAAAUCCCUUGGGAUGUAAACUCCUUUCGACAGGGACGAUAAUGACGGUACCUGUAGAAGAAGCCCGGCUAACUUCGCGCCAGCAGCCGCGGUAA